UUCUCUUCUCAUUACUAUUCUAUAUCAAUAGUUGUCUUCAACUCAAUGGAAAUCCCACAGGAUUGUGAUUCCAUCUAUUGCGGUGAGUGCAGAACUCGAGUUGCAUUCAUCGAGAAUGCCCCUGUUGAGGUGUGGCCAGCUGGGAUCUUUGUUAGGCUGUUUAAUGUAGACAACCAGGAUAUUCAUCAAUCAGAAUUUGAAACUACCUUAGCUGAUUCUUGCUGUGUCCAAUGUGGAAAGCUUCUCGGGUGGAAAUUU
Solanum stenotomum is the source of this 258-nucleotide long non-coding RNA. RefSeq lists it as uncharacterized. Lineage: Eukaryota; Viridiplantae; Streptophyta; Magnoliopsida; Solanales; Solanaceae. The record is from RefSeq and is a predicted model, not a curated record. The transcript has 3 exons.